CUGAGCACAGGCAAUUGUUUCUAUCCAUUGGAAGACCCACUAUCAACGUAUAUUUACGAGUAAAUAUACGUUGAUAGUGGGUCUUUCAAUGGAUAGAAACAAGUGCCUGUGAGUCUGAGUCUCAGUGACUGCUGUGGAAAGUAAACUUGGAAUUGAUAGUACAAAAAUAAAACAUAGGCCCGAUUACAUUGUUCAUACACUUUUAUCCGUGAUUGGCUAUUUUGUAACUAUUUUAAACGUACAGUUGAAUUAGUUUUGAAAAUAAUAUUAUCCAGCUACAUGUAUACAUGUACAUGUGUCAAUGAAAACAAGGCAAUCGUAUCCCUCAGAGCAAUCUGCUCUUUGAUUU
Molecule: long non-coding RNA, 349 nt
Filed under: Mytilus galloprovincialis (Mediterranean mussel)
Lineage: Eukaryota; Metazoa; Mollusca; Bivalvia; Mytilida; Mytilidae
Source: RNAcentral